UAAGGAGGAUGCGAGCGUUAUCCGGAUUUAUUGGGUUUAAAGGGUGCGUAGGCGGAUUUGUAAGUCAGCGGUAAAAAUGCGGUGCUCAACGCCGUAUCGCCGUUGAAACUGCGGGUCUUGAGUGAGCGAGAAGUAUGCGGAAUGAGUAGUGUAGCGGUGAAAUGCUUAGAUAUUACUCAGAACACCGAUUGCGCAGGCAGCUUGCUAAUCCGCAUCUGACGCUGAUGCACGAAAGCGUGGGUAGCGAACAGG
Molecule: ribosomal RNA, 252 nt
Filed under: uncultured Bacteroidales bacterium
Lineage: Bacteria; Pseudomonadati; Bacteroidota; Bacteroidia; Bacteroidales
Description: partial 16S ribosomal RNA
Rfam family: Bacterial small subunit ribosomal RNA
Source: RNAcentral